Molecule: ribosomal RNA, 494 nt
Filed under: uncultured bacterium
Lineage: Bacteria
Description: partial 16S ribosomal RNA
Rfam family: Bacterial small subunit ribosomal RNA
Source: RNAcentral
GACGAACGCUGGCGGCGUGCUUGACACAUGCAAGUCGAACGGAAAGGCCUGCUUUCCCUUGUGGAUUGCGGGUACUCGAGUGGCGAACGGGUGAGUAACACGUGAGUGAUCUGCCCCCAACUUGGGUAUAAGCCUGGGAAACUGGGUCUAAUUCCCGAUAGGACUGCAGGGUGGUGCCUGUGGUGGAAAACGAUUUUCUAGUGGUUGGGGAUGAGCUCGCGGCCUAUCAGCUUGUUGGUGGGGUAAUGGCCUACCAAGGCGGCGACGGGUAGCCGGCCUGAGAGGGUGGACGGGCACAUUGGGACUGAGAUACGGCCCAGACUCCUACGGGAGGCAGCAGUGGGGAAUAUUGCACAAUGGGCGGAAGCCUGAUGCAGCGACGCCGCGUGGGGGAUGACGGCCUUCGGGUUGUAAACUCCUUUCGACCGCGAGGAAGCCACCUGGUUGGAAGGGUGGUGACGGUAGUGGUAGAAGAAGCACCGGCUAACUACGUG